RNAcentral lists this long non-coding RNA (282 nucleotides) under Actinidia chinensis (golden kiwifruit). Its description in RNAcentral is "long non-coding RNA (ACHI_LNC004486)". The record is from RNAcentral. Lineage: Eukaryota; Viridiplantae; Streptophyta; Magnoliopsida; Ericales; Actinidiaceae.
AGCAUUAUAUCCCCACGUUUGGCACAUUAAUCAACCCAAUGUCAAUCAAACCAAUUGCAAAAGUCCUUUUCUUGGGUAAGUAAGUCUCCUACAACUCGCUAACCCUUUCUAAUUGCUACAGGUUUUGUCUUAGAAGCACAUAAGGGUAUGGACAUAGUCAUGGAUACGCAUGUCAAGGAGGACACGUGUGUCCAUAACGCGUCCCCAAUGAGUCCAAUAAAAAAAAUAAUUAAAAAAUAGACAAGCCAAGUGGCAUGUCAGUGUUCGACACGUGUCACACAC